CUAGUAACUGCGAGUGAAGCGGGAAAAGCUCAAAUUUGAAAUCUGGCGGUCCUUUGCGGCCGUCCGAGUUGUAAUCUAGAGAAGUGCUACCCGCGCUGGACCGUGUACAAGUCUCCUGGAAUGGAGCGUCACAGAGGGUGAGAAUCCCGUCUUUGACACGGACUGCCAGGGCUUAUGUGGUGCGCUCUCGAAGAGUCGAGUUGUUUGGGAAUGCAGCUCUAAAUGGGUGGUAAAUUCCAUCUAAAGCUAAAUACAGGCGAGAGACCGAUAGCGAACAAGUACCGUGAGGGAAAGAUGAAAAGAACUUUGGAAAGAGAGUUAAACAGUACGUGAAAUUGCUGAAAGGGAAACGUUUGAAGUCAGUCGCGUUGGCUGGGGAUCAACCUUGCUCUUGCAGGGCGCACUCUCUGGCUCGACGGGUCAGCAUCAGUUUCGGCCGCUGGAGAAAGGCUAGGGGAAUGUGGCAUCGCUUCGGUGAUGUGUUAUAGCCCUUGGUCGUAUGCAGCGGCUGGGACUGAGGAACUCAGCCUGCCCUUAACUGGGCCGGGUCUUUUUGACCACGCUUAACGGGCUUAGGAUGCUGGCAUAAUGGCUUUAAGCGACCCGUCUUGAAACACGGACCAAGGAGUCUAACAUGCUUGCGAGUGUUUGGGUGGAAAACCCGAGCGCGUAAUGAAAGUGAAAGUUGGGAACCCUGUCGUGGGGUGCACCGACGCCCGGACCAGACCUUCUUGCGACGGCUCCGCGGUAGAGCAGGCAUGUUGGGACCCGAAAGAUGGUGAACUAUGCCUGAAUAGGGUGAAGCCAGAGGAAACUCUGGUGGAGGCUCGUAGCGAUUCUGACGUGCAAAUCGAUCGUCAAAUUUGGGAAUAGGGGCGAAAGACUAAUCGACCAUCUAUUAGCUGCUCCUGCCGAG
RNAcentral lists this ribosomal RNA (916 nucleotides) under Agrocybe chaxingu. Its description in RNAcentral is "partial large subunit ribosomal RNA". It matches the Rfam family "Eukaryotic large subunit ribosomal RNA", at positions 80 to 965 of the family's 3401-position model. The record is from RNAcentral. Lineage: Eukaryota; Fungi; Basidiomycota; Agaricomycetes; Agaricales; Agrocybaceae.